UCGGGUUGUAAAGCACUUUUGUCCGGAAAGAAAUCCUUGGCUCUAAUACAGCCGGGGGAUGACGGUACCGGAAGAAUAAGCACCGGCUAACUACGUGCCAGCAGCGCGGUAAUCGUAGGGUGCGAGCGUUAAUCGGAAUUACUGGGCGUAAAGCGUGCGCAGGCGGUUUGCUAAGACCGAUGUGAAAUCCCCGGGCUCAACCUGGGAACUGCAUUGGUGACUGGCAGGCUAGAGUAUGGCAGAGGGGGGUAGAAUUCCACGUGUAGCAGUGAAAUGCGUAGAGAUGUGGAGGAAUACCGAUGGCGAAGGCAGCCCCCUGGGCCAAUACUGACGCUCAUGCACGAAAGCGUGGGGAGCAAACAGGAUUAGAUACCCUGGUAGUCCACGCCCUAAACGAUGUCAACUAGUUGUUGGGGAUUCAUUUCCUUAGUAACGUAGCUAACGCGUGAAGUUGACCGCCUGGGGAGUACGGUCGCAAGAUUAAAACUCAAAGGAAUUGACGGGGACCCGCACAAGCGGUGGAUGAAUGUGGAUUAAUUCGAUGCAACGCGAAAAACCUUACCUACCCUUGACAUGGUCGGAAUCCUGCUG
Molecule: ribosomal RNA, 591 nt
Filed under: uncultured Burkholderia sp.
Lineage: Bacteria; Pseudomonadati; Pseudomonadota; Betaproteobacteria; Burkholderiales; Burkholderiaceae
Description: bacterial SSU rRNA
Rfam family: Bacterial small subunit ribosomal RNA
Source: RNAcentral